GACGAACGCUGGCGGCGUGCUUAACACAUGCAAGUCGAACGGAAAGGCCCUGCUUUUGUGGGGUGCUCGAGUGGCGAACGGGGGAGUAACCCGUGAGUAACCUGCCCUUGACUUUGGGAUAACUUCAGGAAACUGGGGCUAAUACCGGAUAGGAGCUCCUGCGGCAUGGUGGGGGUGGGAAAGUUUCGGCGGUGGGGGAUGGACUCGCGGCUUAUCAGCUUGUUGGUGGGGUAGUGGCUUACCAAGGCUUUGACGGGUAGCCGGCCUGAGAGGGUGACCGGCCACAUUGGGACUGAGAUACGGCCCAGACUCCUACGGGAGGCAGCAGUGGGGAAUAUUGCACAAUGGGCGGAAGCCUGAUGCAGCAACGCCGCGUGCGGGAUGACGGCCUUCGGGUUGUAAACCGCUUUCGCCUGUGACGAAGCGUGAGUGACGGUAAUGGGUAAAGAAGCACCGGCUAACUACGUG
Molecule: ribosomal RNA, 468 nt
Filed under: uncultured bacterium
Lineage: Bacteria
Description: partial 16S ribosomal RNA
Rfam family: Bacterial small subunit ribosomal RNA
Source: RNAcentral